This 27-nucleotide small RNA is filed under the name Bombyx mori (domestic silkworm). Its description in RNAcentral is "ovarian small RNA-31783". Lineage: Eukaryota; Metazoa; Arthropoda; Insecta; Lepidoptera; Bombycidae. The record is from RNAcentral.
UGACGGUAGCGUGUGGCGCAGCCUCAA